AUUGAACGCUGGCGGCAGGCUUAACAUGUGCAAGUCGAGCGGGGUGAUGGUGCUUGCACUAUCACUUAGCGGCGGACGGGUGAGUAAUGCUUAGGAAUCUGCCUAUUAGUGGGGGACAACAUCUCGAAAGGGGUGCUAAUACCGCAUACGUCCUACGGGAGAAAGCAGGGGAUCACUUGUGACCUUGCGCUAAUAGAUGAGCCUAAGUCGGAUUAGCUAGUUGGUGGGGUAAAGGCCUACCAAGGCGACGAUCUGUAGCGGGUCUGAGAGGAUGAUCCGCCACACUGGGACUGAGACACGGCCCAGACUCCUACGGGAGGCAGCAGUGGGGAAUAUUGGACAAUGGGGGGAACCCUGAUCCAGCCAUGCCGCGUGUGUGAAGAAGGCCUUAUGGUUGUAAAGCACUUUAAGCGAGGAGGAGGCUCUUUUGGUUAAUACCCAAGAUGAGUGGACGUUACUCGCAGAAUAAGCACCGGCUAACUCUGUGCCAGCCGCCGCGGUAA
RNAcentral lists this ribosomal RNA (503 nucleotides) under uncultured bacterium. RNAcentral describes it as "partial 16S ribosomal RNA". It matches the Rfam family "Bacterial small subunit ribosomal RNA", at positions 30 to 523 of the family's 1533-position model. The record is from RNAcentral.